GUGGACGUGCCGGAGUGGUUAUCGGGCAUGCCUAGAAAGCAUGUGAGUUUUACUCGCGCAGGUUCGAAUCCUGCCGUCCACG
Molecule: transfer RNA, 82 nt
Filed under: Selaginella moellendorffii
Lineage: Eukaryota; Viridiplantae; Streptophyta; Lycopodiopsida; Selaginellales; Selaginellaceae
Description: tRNA tRNA-Ser
Rfam family: tRNA
About the family: Transfer RNA (tRNA) molecules are approximately 80 nucleotides in length. Their secondary structure includes four short double-helical elements and three loops (D, anti-codon, and T loops).
Source: Rfam by way of RNAcentral